GUUGGAUAAAGAAGCUGGUAAAGAGUACUUGGAUUAAAGAAGCUGAAUUGAGAAGAAUUGACCAAACCUCUACGCUGAAAAGAGAAGAAGGUAAACAAGGAGAUUUAUUCAAGAGCAUACUAGACCUAUGCUUACUAAAUUGGUAAAUGGA
Hibiscus syriacus is the source of this 151-nucleotide long non-coding RNA. RefSeq lists it as uncharacterized. Lineage: Eukaryota; Viridiplantae; Streptophyta; Magnoliopsida; Malvales; Malvaceae. The record is from RefSeq and is a predicted model, not a curated record. The transcript is spliced from 3 exons.